GGACUAGAGUCGCAUCAUGCCACAACUCUUGUCCUGGUGUGCUAGGGUCCUCGGAGAGGAUCUGCUGGCCUUGACCUAUUGGUGGGGCAGACAGUGCCUCCACGAGUGCCCUGCUCAGAAACGUGC
Small nucleolar RNA from Echinops telfairi (small Madagascar hedgehog), 126 nucleotides. The record is from Ensembl. Lineage: Eukaryota; Metazoa; Chordata; Mammalia; Afrosoricida; Tenrecidae.